RNAcentral lists this ribosomal RNA (669 nucleotides) under Clostridioides difficile. Its description in RNAcentral is "partial 23S ribosomal RNA". It matches the Rfam family "Bacterial large subunit ribosomal RNA", at positions 640 to 1315 of the family's 2925-position model. The record is from RNAcentral. Lineage: Bacteria; Bacillati; Bacillota; Clostridia; Peptostreptococcales; Peptostreptococcaceae.
GCAAGGUUAAGCACUUAAGGUGCGGAGCCGUAGCGAAAGCGAGUUUUAACUGAGCGUUCAGUUACUUGACGUAGACCCGAAACCGGGCGACCUACCCAUGAGCAGGAUGAAGCGAAAGUAAAAUUUCGUGGAGGUCCGAACCCACGAGCGUUGAAAAGCUCGGGGAUGACUUGUGGGUAGCGGUGAAAUUCCAAUCGAGCCCGGAGAUAGCUGGUUCUCCCCGAAAUAGCUUUAGGGCUAGCCUCAAGGUGAGAGAUACGGAGGUAGAGCACUGAAUGUCCUAGGGGGUAUUGCACCUACCGAAGACUAUCAAACUCCGAAUGCCGUCAUCUUAUACUUGGGAGUCAGACUGUGGGUGAUAAGAUUCAUAGUCGAAAGGGCAACAGCCCAGAUCGUCAGCUAAGGUCCCUAAAUGUAAGUUAAGUGGUAAAGGAUGUGGGAUUGCACAGACAACCAGGAUGUUGGCUUAGAAGCAGCCACUCAUUCAAAGAGUGCGUAAUAGCUCACUGGUCGAGUGAUCCUGCGCCGAAGAUUUCCGGGGCUAAAACUUACUACCGAAGCUACGGCAUCAGUAAUGAUGGGUAGGGGAGCUUCCCAUACGGGUUGAAGCAUGACCGUAAGGACAUGUGGACAGUAUGGGAGUGAGAAUGUUGGCAUGAGUAGCGAGAU